This 497-nucleotide ribosomal RNA is filed under the name uncultured bacterium. Its description in RNAcentral is "partial 16S ribosomal RNA". It matches the Rfam family "Bacterial small subunit ribosomal RNA", at positions 28 to 507 of the family's 1533-position model. The record is from RNAcentral.
GAUGAACGCUGGCGGCGUGCCUAAUACAUGCAAGUCGAGCGAACAGACGAGGAGCUUGCUCCUCUGACGUUAGCGGCGGACGGGUGAGUAACACGUGGAUAACCUACCUAUAAGACUGGGAUAACUUCGGGAAACCGGAGCUAAUACCGGAUAAUAUAUUGAACCGCAUGGUUCAAUAGUGAAAGACGGUUUUGCUGUCACUUAUAGAUGGAUCCGCGCCGCAUUAGCUAGUUGGUAAGGUAACGGCUUACCAAGGCAACGAUGCGUAGCCGACCUGAGAGGGGGAUCGGCCACACUGGAACUGAGACACGGUCCAGACUCCUACGGGAGGCAGCAGUAGGGAAUGUUCCGCAAUGGGCGAAAGCCUGACGGAGCAACGCCGCGUGAAUGAUGAAGGUCUUCGGAUCGUAAAACUCUGUUAUUAGGGAAGAACAAAUGUGUAAGUAACUAUGCACGUCUUGACGGUACCUAAUCAGAAAGCCACGGCUAACUACGUG